AGAGCGCAUGACCGGUUACCGUAGCCGUGACUUUUUUCCAUCGUCCUCCAACAUCGGUGCUCCAGUUAGACACCCGUUCUUCGUUCUCUGCAAGAAACAAUGUUUCACGCGCUCGUUCUUUGACCCGUUUUAAAAUAUCGAAAACGUUGAAACGAAUGAAACGGCGAUCAUACAAAAAUCACAAUUAAGAUUUGUUUAAAUCUCGUUUUGCAUUUUGAAUCGACUCAACUCAAUAAUUGUGUUCUCAUAAUGUGUAUUUUUUGUUUGUUAUUUUGAAAAAAAUAAGCAAGAGAUUAAUAAAGUUCGAUUGUGUACGAUAGAACGAUGAUAGUUUUGUAUUAAACUUUGAUAAAAUUCAUUCGUUUAAUUUGGAAUAAAAAUUGCAAUUAGGACGUUAUAUACUAAUUUUUUAGGAAGCAAAUCCGUUCGCAACAACAAGUGUAUUUUCUGUUUGUUAUUUUGAAAAAAAUAAGCAAGAGAUUAAUAAAGUUCGAUUGUACGAUAGAACGAUGAUAGUUUUGUAUUAAACUUUGAUAAAAUUCAUUCGUUUAAUUUGGAAUAAAAAUUGCAACUAGGACGUUAUAUACUAAUUUUUUAUGAAGCAAAUCCGUUCGCAACAACAAGUGUAUUUUCUGUUUGUUUGUAUAAAACUUUGAUAAAAUUCAUUCGUUUAAUUUGGAAUAAAAAUUGCAAUUAGAACGUUAUAUAUUUGAUAGGUAUAUACUAAUUGUAUGUAUAAAAAUUAGAUGCAAUUAACGUGCAAUUUAGAUCUUAGAACUAUGUCACGUUUUUACAGAUACUUUUUUUGUAAAUUUUAGGAAACAAAUCCGUUCGCAACAACAACUCAGCUAUUAACUAUACUAGGUAUAGUUAAUAUACAUACUUAUAUUAUACGUAUACAUAAGGUGUUGAGUUAACGCACGAUCUGUAGAAAGAUACAAGCGCGAGGAAAAUGCGAAUGUAGCUUCGAUAAAUUCCGAAGCCGCGAUUCUCGUCCUCCCCUAUGUCUUGUUGUACAGCAGACAGAUAAAUUUAUACGUUUGCCAA
RNAcentral lists this long non-coding RNA (1047 nucleotides) under Polistes fuscatus (common paper wasp). RNAcentral describes it as "uncharacterized LOC122517378". The record is from RNAcentral. Lineage: Eukaryota; Metazoa; Arthropoda; Insecta; Hymenoptera; Vespidae.